UAAGCGAAGGACGCUUUGCUUACAGGGAGUGACUGAAUAAACUUACUGGCAACCGCUGGUUAAGGUGAUGAGUCAGAGGUGGUGCUCGCUGUUCGCAAGAACAGAACUACUGAACCAAGUAGGACUCAGGCAACAACGUAUUUACUUUCUGUAGUAAUGCCCGUUGUUUGUUGGUAUACAGGAACCCAACCUCCCACCCA
This 200-nucleotide non-coding RNA is filed under the name unclassified sequences. The record is from Rfam.